AUAUUGAAAACCUAGCAGGAGGAGUGGAAGGAACAACGGCAGAGGAGGUCACUGAAUACUCAGCUGCACUCUGGGAAAGACACGACGCACUUCAGGACACAGAGAAGGUUAUGGACCAUGUGCUGCUGCUGAGGGAGUGGAGGUCUCCGUUUUCCACAGCUUCGGCAGCCUGGAAGGGGCUGCAGACCCGACCUGCCAGGAUCAUGUGCUAUCCACUUACCGGAGGCGCACACAUAUGGCUCACUGGCUGUGUGGAAGAAAAAACUCCAGUUGGGAAACACUGAGGCUGGGAGGCACGCGUGGCCUUUUCCCCACCUGCAAAUACCAGGUGCACAAAGGAAAACCGCACAGAGGAGGCGGCUCCCUUUCU
Molecule: long non-coding RNA, 370 nt
Organism: Octodon degus (degu)
Lineage: Eukaryota; Metazoa; Chordata; Mammalia; Rodentia; Octodontidae
Exons: 3
Source: RefSeq, a predicted model, not a curated record